GGAGGCGUCGCCUAGUGGCCUAUGGCGCCCGCCUGCUAAGCGGGUUGGGGAGGUAGAAUCCCCUCGCGGGUUCAAAUCCCGCCGCCUCCGCCA
RNAcentral lists this transfer RNA (93 nucleotides) under Bifidobacteriaceae bacterium. Its description in RNAcentral is "tRNA-Ser". It matches the Rfam family "tRNA". Rfam says of the family: Transfer RNA (tRNA) molecules are approximately 80 nucleotides in length. Their secondary structure includes four short double-helical elements and three loops (D, anti-codon, and T loops). The record is from RNAcentral. Lineage: Bacteria; Bacillati; Actinomycetota; Actinomycetes; Bifidobacteriales; Bifidobacteriaceae.